Molecule: small nucleolar RNA, 82 nt
Filed under: Tursiops truncatus (common bottlenose dolphin)
Lineage: Eukaryota; Metazoa; Chordata; Mammalia; Artiodactyla; Delphinidae
Description: Small nucleolar RNA SNORA25 (ENSTTRG00000024326.1)
Source: RNAcentral
AUGUCAGACCAAAGAUUGAGAGUUCUCCAUAGGAUGUAAUAGUCACUCAAGAGUGCUAUGUUUUCCUGAUAGACAUAGAAGA